AAUCCUAUCCAUCGAAAGCCUAAGGUUUCCAGGGGAAGGCUCGUCCGCCCUGGGUUAGUCGGGACCUAAGGAGAGACCGAAAGGUGUAUCCGAUGGACAACAGGUUGAUAUUCCUGUACUAGAGUAUAUAGUGAUGGAGGGACGCAGUAGGCUAACUAAACCAGACGAUUGGAAGUGUCUGGCCAAGCAGUGAGGUGUGAUAUGAGUCAAAUGCUUAUAUCUCUAACAUUGAGCUGUGAUGGGGAGCGAAGUUUAGUAGCGAAGUUAGUGAUGUCACACUGCCGAGAAAAGCUUCUAGCGUUAAUUAUACUCUACCCGUACCGCAAACCGACACAGGUAGUCGAGGCGAGUAGCCUCAGGUGAGCGAGAGAACUCUCGUUAAGGAACUCGGCAAAAUGGCCCCGUAACUUCGGGAGAAGGGGCGCUGACUUAUGGUCAGCCGCAGUGAAUAGGCCCAAGCAACUGUUUAUCAAAAACACAGCUCUCUGCUAAAUCGUAAGAUGAUGUAUAGGGGGUGACGCCUGCCCGGUGCUGGAAGGUUAAGAGGAGUGCUUAGCGUAAGCGAAGGUAUGAAUUGAAGCCCCAGUAAACGGCGGCCGUAACUAUAACGGUCCUAAGGUAGCGAAAUUCCUUGUCGGGUAAGUUCCGACCCGCACGAAAGGCGUAAUGAUUUGGGCACUGUCUCAACGAGAGACUCGGUGAAAUUUUAGUACCUGUGAAGAUGCAGGUUACCCGCGACAGGACGGAAAGACCCCAUGGAGCUUUACUGCAGUUUGAUAUUGAGUAUCUGUACCACAUGUACAGGAUAGGUAGGAGCCUAUGACCUCGGGACGCCAGUUUCGAGUGAGGCGUUGUUGGGAUACUACCCUUGUGUUAUGGCUACUCUAACCCAGAUAGGUUAUCCCUAUCGGAGACAGUGUCUGACGGGCAGUUUGACUGGGGCGGUCGCCUCCUAAAAGGUAACGGAGGCGCCCAAAGGUUCCCUCAGAAUGGUUGGAAAUCAUUCGCAGAGUGUAAAGGUAUAAGGGAGCUUGACUGCGAGAGCUACAACUCGAGCAGGGACGAAAGUCGGGCUUAGUGAUCCGGUGGUUCCGCAUGGAAGGGCCAUCGCUCAACGGAUAAAAGCUACCCUGGGGAUAACAGGCUUAUCUCCCCCAAGAGUUCACAUCGACGGGGAGGUUUGGCACCUCGAUGUCGGCUCA
RNAcentral lists this ribosomal RNA (1202 nucleotides) under human gut metagenome. Its description in RNAcentral is "bacterial LSU rRNA". It matches the Rfam family "Bacterial large subunit ribosomal RNA", at positions 1326 to 2539 of the family's 2925-position model. The record is from RNAcentral.